Long non-coding RNA from Tympanuchus pallidicinctus (lesser prairie-chicken), 260 nucleotides. RefSeq lists it as uncharacterized. Lineage: Eukaryota; Metazoa; Chordata; Aves; Galliformes; Phasianidae. The transcript has 3 exons. The record is from RefSeq and is a predicted model, not a curated record.
CCUAACCUCAUUUGAGGGAUGGCAGGUGCGAGGGAAGCAUCUCUACUCCAAGGUUGAUUUCUUUGGUGUAUUUGGUGAGCCCUGAUCCUUGGAAAGGGUGCCAGGGUGAAGAACUAUGAAGAAAUUCUCCUGCAGAAGCUGGCAGCCCAUGGCUUGGACAGGCAGAUGAGAGCCAAAGGCAGAGUUCUGUGUGAGAAUUUUCGAGAGGAUGUCCACCUUGCAGUGGUCUUUCAGAGGCUGAAGUAUCUGCUGAUGAAAGA